UGGGGAAUUUUGGACAAUGGGGGCAACCCUGAUCCAGCAAUGCCGCGUGUGUGAAGAAGGCCUUCGGGUUGUAAAGCACUUUUGUCCGGGAAGAAAUCCCCUGCCCUAAUACGGCGGGGGGAUGACGGUACCGGAAGAAUAAGCACCGGCUAACUACGUGCCAGCAGCCGCGGUAAUACGUAGGGUGCGAGCGUUAAUCGGAAUUACUGGGCGUAAAGCGUGCGCAGGCGGUGAUGUAAGACCGAUGUGAAAUCCCCGGGCUCAACCUGGGAACUGCAUUGGUGACUGCAUUGCUCGAGUAUGGCAGAGGGGGGUGGAAUUCCACGUGUAGCAGUGAAAUGCGUAGAGAUGUGGAGGAACACCGAUGGCGAAGGCAGCCCCCUGGGCCAAUACUGACGCUCAUGCACGAAAGCGUGGGGAGCAAACAGGAUUAGAUACCCUGGUAGUCCACGCCCUAAACGAUGUCAACUGGUUGUCGGGCCUUCAUUGGCUUGGUAACGUAGCUAACGCGUGAAGUUGACCGCCUGGGGAGUACGGUCGC
RNAcentral lists this ribosomal RNA (541 nucleotides) under uncultured bacterium. RNAcentral's name for it is "partial 16S ribosomal RNA". It matches the Rfam family "Bacterial small subunit ribosomal RNA", at positions 355 to 889 of the family's 1533-position model. The record is from RNAcentral.